This 21-nucleotide unclassified non-coding RNA is filed under the name Mus musculus (house mouse). RNAcentral describes it as "oocyte_clustered_small_RNA10520". The record is from RNAcentral. Lineage: Eukaryota; Metazoa; Chordata; Mammalia; Rodentia; Muridae.
UUCUAAAUCCAAGACACUCUC